ACAUGGGACCAUAGGGUGUGGAAAACAGGGCUUCCCGUCCGCUCAGCCGUACUUAAGCCACACGCCGGUGAGUUAGUAGUUGGGUGGGUGACCACCAGCGAAUCCUCACUGUUGUAUGUU
RNAcentral lists this ribosomal RNA (120 nucleotides) under Penicillium polonicum. Lineage: Eukaryota; Fungi; Ascomycota; Eurotiomycetes; Eurotiales; Aspergillaceae. The record is from RNAcentral.